AGCCGCGGCGGAGGGGCUGUGCGCUGCGGUUGCGUGGCUGAGGUGUGCUGUGGGCUGGCCGCCGCCCGCCGUGCCGCUCGCCUCUGCCGGGCUUCAGGGUGUGCUUGUGCCUCGCCGGCCCCACGGCUGCGGCGCGGCCCCGCUCUGCGGGAUGGACAUGCUAUAGCGUACCCACGGAAGGGCAACAGAGCUGGUGAAAGGUCUGCAGAACAGAUCUGGUGAGGAGAAAAGGAGGCUGAGGGGAGAGCUUCUUCCUUCCUGCAGUUCCCUGAUAGGAGGUCGUACUGAGGUGGGUGGUAGCUGCUUUUCCCUGGGAACAAGUGACAGGAGGAGAGCAGGUGGUCUCUGGCUGCACCAGGAGAGGUUUAGGUUGUACAUGAGAAGAAGCUUCUCUCCUGAGAGGUUCCGAGCAGGCUAUUCAGGGAGGUGGCCGAACCUGCGCUUCUGGAGGUGCCGAAAAGACAUGGUGCCUGGGACGUGGGUGAGCGGCCGUGGUGCUAUUGGCUUCGUGGUUGGACUUAAUGAGGUCUUUUCUUUUCAAAUCUCAGUGAUUUGAUAAUCCUAGACAUGGUAGAACAAGCAGCUGGAACCCUUCUGACCACGGGAGGACAGCUGCCCUUGUGCCCUUCCGAAAGAGAUGACUCCCGGAGCUUCCCAUGGCUGCUCCUGUGUCCAGUGUGGUCGCAGCUGUGAAAAGAAACAAACAAAAAAAGCUUUGAGCAUCUACCACAGCCCUCUGCCAGGCAGGAAGGUGGAGUACAAGGAAUCUCAAGCUCAGCAGGUACAGAAUCACAGGAAACACCUGUUUGGAAGGGGCCUCAAAGAUCACCCAGUCCAACUCUCCACUCGGCACUGAAGAAUCAACAUUAAACCACAUGUCCCUAAGCACCAGGUCCACACGCUGCUUAAACACCUCCAGGGAUGGUGACUCCAUCACUGCCCUGGGCAGACCGUUCCAGUGUUUGAGAACCCUUUCAGUGAAGAAAUACUUCCUAACAUUCAGCCUGAACCUUCCCUGGUGCCGCUUGAAACCAUUUCCUCUGGUCCUGCAGCUUGACACCAUGGAGAAGAGGUUGCCCCCUCCUCCAAUCUCCAGGCAGUUGUAGAGAGCAAUGAGGUCUCCCCUCAGCCUCCUUUUCUCCAGACUGAACAACUGCAUGGUCUCUGCCUCAAAGCCAGGCUGGGAUACUCCCAAGAGGAGCUUAGAAGAGCUGGAGAGCAGUUGCUGUGAGGGGUGGCAGGGUCGCAGCCCCAGCUCCAUCCAGCGGGGAAGAAGAAACCCAAAGGUGAAGGCAGUGCUUCCUCGCUAUCAUCUUUUUCAUCUAUGUGCCGAGUGCAGGCCAUUAAAAUGAAAGGUGAAAUUA
This is a long non-coding RNA of Pogoniulus pusillus (Red-fronted tinkerbird), 1364 nucleotides long. RefSeq lists it as uncharacterized. NCBI's taxonomy places the organism in Eukaryota, Metazoa, Chordata, Aves, Piciformes, Lybiidae. The transcript is spliced from 2 exons. The record is from RefSeq and is a predicted model, not a curated record.